Molecule: ribosomal RNA, 70 nt
Filed under: Elytraria macrophylla
Lineage: Eukaryota; Viridiplantae; Streptophyta; Magnoliopsida; Lamiales; Acanthaceae
Description: partial 26S ribosomal RNA
Rfam family: Eukaryotic large subunit ribosomal RNA
Source: RNAcentral
UCACCCGCUGAGUUUAAGCAUAUCAAUAAGCGGAGGAAAAGAAACUAACAAGGAUGCCCUUAGUAACGGC